Oryzias latipes (Japanese medaka) is the source of this 329-nucleotide non-coding RNA. The record is from RefSeq and is a predicted model, not a curated record. Lineage: Eukaryota; Metazoa; Chordata; Actinopteri; Beloniformes; Adrianichthyidae.
UUUCAGCUAAAAAUUCAGAAACAAGAAAUCAAAAUACUCGUCUCUUUAUCUCUGUAGAAAAUGUGGAAGAAGAGCAGAGUCUCAGUGAGAGGAGAUCGUCCUUCUCUGCAGUUUCCACUCUAAGCCUCUGUCUUGAUGCUGAACACACAAUAGAAGAAGAUAACAGAAGAGAACAUGGAGACGGAGGAAAGGAGUUUGAUCAUCAAACAGCAGAGAUGGAGCUUUGCUUUGUUUGGUUAAAGGGUCUAUUUUAUACAAAAUCCACUUUUGAGCUUUUCAAUGUCUAACAAUGUUGAUUCAUCAUAAAAAAAACCAUGGUGGUAUCUUGA